GACGAACGCUGGCGGCGUGCUUAACACAUGCAAGUCGAACGAGAGCGUAGAGAAAGCUUGCUUUUUCUACAAUCUAGUGGCAAACGGGGGAGUAACGCGUAAACAACCUGCCCUAUGGAUGGGGACAACAGCGGGAAACGGCUGCUAAUACCGAAUACGUGCCGAAAGGGGCAUGACGAUCGGAAGAAAGGAUGGCCUCUAUUUAUAAGCUAUCGCCGGAGGAGGGGUUUGCGCCUGAUUAGCUAGUUGGGGGGGUAACGGCCCACCAAGGCGACGAUCAGUAGCCGGUCCGAGGAGAUGGACGGCCCCCUUGGGACUGAGACACGGUCCAGACUCCUACGGGGGGCAGCAGUGGGGAAUCUUCCGCCAUAGGCGGAAGCCUGACGGAGCAACGCCGCGUGGGUGAAGACGGCCUUCGGGUUGUAAAGCUCUGUUAUACGGGACGAAUAAUCUUGUGGUUAAUACCCAUGAGAAGUGACGGUACCGAAAGAGAAAGCCACGGCUAACUACGUG
RNAcentral lists this ribosomal RNA (513 nucleotides) under uncultured bacterium. RNAcentral's name for it is "partial 16S ribosomal RNA". It matches the Rfam family "Bacterial small subunit ribosomal RNA", at positions 28 to 507 of the family's 1533-position model. The record is from RNAcentral.